Molecule: unclassified non-coding RNA, 340 nt
Filed under: uncultured fungus
Lineage: Eukaryota; Fungi
Description: sequence contains ITS1
Rfam family: 5.8S ribosomal RNA (bases 1-103)
Source: RNAcentral
GAAGUGCGAUAAGCAAUGCGAAUUGCAGAACAGUGAGUCAUCAGAUUUUUGAACGCAACUGGCGCUAGUUGGAACUCCAACUAGCAUGCUUGUUUCAGUGUCUUUUUCUUUCCUAACCGAAAUCAUAAUGCGAGAGAUAACCUUCUCUUGUUAAGCAUGAAAGCACUCUGCGCUCUGCGAGCGACUUUGAUUCGUCAUUGUCGCACUCAAUGCAGCAGUCACAUUGUUUACAGUGUGAACUCAUUGAGAGUGGAGGCAGUGCGGCCUUACAGCUGCCAGUGCUUAGACACUCAAACUUUUCUUGUAUCUGAAAUCAAGCAGGAUCACCCGCUGAACUUAA